GGCGUGCCUAAUACAUGCAAGUCGAACGAACUCUGGUAUUGAUUGGUGCUUGCAUCAUGAUUUACAUUUAAGUGAGUGGCGAACUGGUAAGUAACACGUGGGAAACCUGCCCAGAAGCGGGGGAUAACACCUGGAAACAGAUGCUAAUACCGCAUAACAACUUGGACCGCAUGGUCCGAGUUUGAAAGAUGGCUUCGGCUAUCACUUUUGGAUGGUCCCGCGGCGUAUUAGCUAGAUGGUGAGGUAACGGCUCACCAUGGCAAUGAUACGUAGCCGACCUGAGAGGGUAAUCGGCCACAUUGGGACUGAGACACGGCCCAAACUCCUACGGGAGGCAGCAGUAGGGAAUCUUCCACAAUGGACGAAAGUCUGAUGGAGCAACGCCGCGUGAGUGAAGAAAGGGUUCGGGCUCGUAAAACUCUGUUGUUAAAGAAGAACAUAUCUGAGAGUAACUGUUCAGGUAUUGACGGUAUUUAACCAGAAAGCCACGGCUAACUACGUGCCAGCAGCCGCGGUAAUACGUAGGUGGCAAGCGUUGUCCGGAUUUAUUGGGCGUAAAGCGAGCGCAGGCGGUUUUUUAAGUCUGAUGUGAAAGCUUCGGCUCAACCGAAGAAGUGCAUCGGAAACUGGGAAACUUGAGUGCAGAAGA
RNAcentral lists this ribosomal RNA (649 nucleotides) under Lactiplantibacillus plantarum. RNAcentral's name for it is "bacterial SSU rRNA". It matches the Rfam family "Bacterial small subunit ribosomal RNA", at positions 41 to 655 of the family's 1533-position model. The record is from RNAcentral. Lineage: Bacteria; Bacillati; Bacillota; Bacilli; Lactobacillales; Lactobacillaceae.